UCAACAUGUUGGUCACUACAGAAGGAACUUUGAAGAGUUCAAGGGGCACUAUUCUCGGUGUGGAGUGAACUUCUUCAACCAAGAGAAAGUCUGAUUGGAAGAAGAAGAACAAAUCCGCUAAGAAGUAGAAAAAAGAAAGCAAGCCAAAGAAGGAUGUUCUAAAGAAGGUUGAAGUAAAGGGACAGUAUUUUCAUUGUGAUGCUGAUGGCCA
This 211-nucleotide long non-coding RNA is filed under the name Elaeis guineensis (African oil palm). RNAcentral describes it as "long non-coding RNA (EGUI_LNC037174)". The record is from RNAcentral. Lineage: Eukaryota; Viridiplantae; Streptophyta; Magnoliopsida; Arecales; Arecaceae.